UCCGGGCAUUGACAGCCCUUCGCCUCCGCGACUGCAUCCCGGGAGUCUCGAGACCCUAAUAGUCCUCAUUCAUCUCCGAUUGGCUCACCAGAUUUCCAGGCGCCGGGCUGCCAAGUUCCGUCCGGUUCGCCCCCCAGCCCCGCCCCAGGGCGCUUUGCCAGUCCACCUUCCCAGCCACCGGAGUCCCCUCGGCCAGCUUCCCCGUUUCCCACUUAGCCCCUCGGAGGGCUGGUGCGGGCGGGCUGGACCACGAUACAGGACAGGACUCUUAUCCCCCAGGUUGCCGGCUGCCGGGCCUGCGUGUAGGGUCCUGGGCUGCAAGAUUCGGACCCGGGAAACUGAGGUCCAGAGAAAGAUGCGGACCCGGGCCUCUCGCCUCUGGUGUCUGGUUUCCAAGACUCGGCGGGCGGCCACUGAGUGACACCGGGCCAGCCUGCCUCCAGCGCGCUGCCACAGAGCUCAGUUUAUUCGUGUCUAGAGCGCAUCUUGUGGACCGGGCGCAGGCCUCCAUUCUCCAGCAGGACAGUGGCAUCGUGUCCUUCGUCUGGGGAGUUGUCUCGGCUGGCACAGUGUCCUCAGACUCCAGGAUGAGUGACAGAUCCAGGGGCUCUGGCUCUCAUAAACCCUGCCCACUCUCCCUCCACACACACACAACCUAGCCAGCUGCAGAAGGCUGAAAUCCCACCGCUAGUGCUUGUCCC
Molecule: long non-coding RNA, 701 nt
Organism: Artibeus jamaicensis (Jamaican fruit-eating bat)
Lineage: Eukaryota; Metazoa; Chordata; Mammalia; Chiroptera; Phyllostomidae
Exons: 3
Source: RefSeq, a predicted model, not a curated record